RNAcentral lists this ribosomal RNA (519 nucleotides) under uncultured bacterium. RNAcentral's name for it is "bacterial SSU rRNA". It matches the Rfam family "Bacterial small subunit ribosomal RNA", at positions 11 to 526 of the family's 1533-position model. The record is from RNAcentral.
GUUUGAUCCUGGCUCAGGACAAACGCUGGCGGCGUGCUUAACACAUGCAAGUCGAACGGUCUCCCUUUGGGGAGAUAGUGGCGGACGGGUGAGUAACACGUAGUUGACCUGCCCAAUCGUGGGGAAUAACUGCCCGAAAGGGUAGCUAAUACCGCAUAAGCUCACAGGGGUUGCCCUGUGAGGAAACCUUGGUCUUCGGAUCUGGGGCGAAUGGAGGGGACUGCGGCGGAUUAGCUAGAUGGUGGGGUAACGGCCUACCAUGGCGACGAUCCGUAGCUGGUCUGAGAGGACGACCAGCCACACUGGGACUGAGACACGGCCCAGACUCCUACGGGAGGCAGCAGUGAGGAAUAUUCCACAAUGGGCGAAAGCCUGAUGGAGCGACGCCGCGUGAGGGAUGAAGCCUUUUGGGGUGUAAACCUCUUUUUUGGGGGAUGAAACGCACGGUGCAUAACCGGGCUAAGACAGUACCCCAAGAAUAAGCAUCGGCUAACUACGUGCCAGCAGCCGCGGUAAUAA